RNAcentral lists this ribosomal RNA (422 nucleotides) under uncultured bacterium. RNAcentral's name for it is "bacterial SSU rRNA". It matches the Rfam family "Bacterial small subunit ribosomal RNA", at positions 355 to 774 of the family's 1533-position model. The record is from RNAcentral.
UGAGGAAUAUUGGACAAUGGGCGCAAGCCUGAUCCAGCCAUGCCGCGUGCAGGAAGAAACAUCUAUGGUGUGUAAACUGCUUUUGUACGGGAAGAAACACUCCUUCGUGAAGGAGCUUGACGGUACCGUAAGAAUAAGGAUCGGCUAACUCCGUGCCAGCAGCCGCGGUAAUACGGAGGAUCCAAGCGUUAUCCGGAAUCAUUGGGAUUAAAGGGUCCGUAGGCGGUUUAGUAAGUCAGUGGUGAAAGCCCAUCGCUCAACGAUGGAACGGCCAUUGAUACUGCUAGACUUGAAUUACAAGGAAGUAACUAGAAUAUGUAGUGUAGCGGUGAAAUGCUUAGAUAUUACAUGGAAUACCAAUUGCGAAGGCAGGUUACUACUUGUGGAUUGACGCUGAUGGACGAAAGCGUGGGGAGCGAACA